This 250-nucleotide unclassified non-coding RNA is filed under the name Hevea brasiliensis (rubber tree). The record is from RNAcentral. Lineage: Eukaryota; Viridiplantae; Streptophyta; Magnoliopsida; Malpighiales; Euphorbiaceae.
AGAAACUCAAAUAACCUGCAAUCAACAAAGAGUUUUUAUACUGUCAGGACCGUGGAAAGGUAUGCAUUAAGCUUUGAAAAAUACUGUUGCCCUAAAAAAUAGCACAAGAUACCAAAAGCACUAUCAAGGACCAGAAUUCAGAGAUGACUCAUUUCGUUCGUUUAAAAAUUUCUGAUUCAGCACAUGCUUUACCAUGAAUACUGAAGCACUAUAUAUGGACCUAAUCUGUGAUCUAGCUAACAGAAAGCAU